This 465-nucleotide ribosomal RNA is filed under the name Vreelandella stevensii. RNAcentral's name for it is "partial 16S ribosomal RNA". It matches the Rfam family "Bacterial small subunit ribosomal RNA", at positions 338 to 795 of the family's 1533-position model. Lineage: Bacteria; Pseudomonadati; Pseudomonadota; Gammaproteobacteria; Oceanospirillales; Halomonadaceae. The record is from RNAcentral.
CCUACGGGUGGCUGCAGUGGGGAAUAUUGGACAAUGGGCGAAAGCCUGAUCCAGCCAUGCCGCGUGUGUGAAGAAGGCCUUCGGGUUGUAAAGCACUUUCAGUGGGGAAGAAAGCCUUGGGGCUAAUACCCUCGAGGAAGGACAUCACCCACAGAAGAAGCACCGGCUAACUCCGUGCCAGCAGCCGCGGUAAUACGGAGGGUGCGAGCGUUAAUCGGAAUUACUGGGCGUAAAGCGCGCGUAGGCGGUCUGAUAAGCCGGUUGUGAAAGCCCCGGGCUCAACCUGGGAACGGCAUCCGGAACUGUCAGGCUAGAGUGCAGGAGAGGAAGGUAGAAUUCCCGGUGUAGCGGGGAAAUGCGUAGAGAUCGGGAGGAAUACCAGUGGCGAAGGCGGCCUUCUGGACUGACACUGACGCUGAGGUGCGAAAGCGUGGGUAGCAAACAGGAUUAGAUACCCCUGUAGUC